UGGGGAAUAUUACGCAAUGGGCGAAAGCCUGACGCAGCAACGCCGUGUGAGGGAUGAAGGCUUUCGGGUCGUAAACCUCUGUCGGAAGGGAAGAACGGGUGAGGGUCUAAUAGGCCUUCAUUUUGACGGUACCUUUAGAGGAAGCACCGGCUAACUCCGUGCCAGCAGCCGCGGUAAUACGGAGGGUGCAAGCGUUAUUCGGAAUUACUGGGCGUAAAGCGCACGUAGGCCGCUUUGUAAGUCAGGGGUGAAAUCCCACGGCUCAACCGUGGAACUGCCCUUGAAACUGCAGAGCUUGAAUCCUGGAGAGGGUGGCGGAAUUCCUGGUGUAGGAGUGAAAUCCGUAGAUAUCAGGAGGAACACCGGUGGCGAAGGCGGCCACCUGGACAGGCAUUGACGCUGAGGUGCGAAAGUGUGGGGAGCAAACAG
This 429-nucleotide ribosomal RNA is filed under the name uncultured bacterium. RNAcentral describes it as "bacterial SSU rRNA". It matches the Rfam family "Bacterial small subunit ribosomal RNA", at positions 355 to 775 of the family's 1533-position model. The record is from RNAcentral.